RNAcentral lists this ribosomal RNA (460 nucleotides) under uncultured bacterium. Its description in RNAcentral is "partial 16S ribosomal RNA". It matches the Rfam family "Bacterial small subunit ribosomal RNA", at positions 338 to 795 of the family's 1533-position model. The record is from RNAcentral.
CCUACGGGAGGCAGCAGUGAGGAAUAUUGGUCAAUGGACGAGAGUCUGAACCAGCCAAGUAGCGUGAAGGAUGACUGCCCUAUGGGUUGUAAACUUCUUUUAUAUGGGAAUAAAAUGUUCCACGUGUGGGAUUUUGUAUGUACCAUAUGAAUAAGGAUCGGCUAACUCCGUGCCAGCAGCCGCGGUAAUACGGAGGAUCCGAGUGUUAUCCGGAUUUAUUGGGUUUAAAGGGAGCGUAGGUGGAUUGUUAAGUCAGUUGUGCAAGUUUGCGGCUCAACAGUAAAAUUGAAGUUGAAACGGGCAGUCUGGAUUACAGUAGAGGUGGGCGGAAUCCGUGGUGUAGCGGUGAAAGGCUUAGAUAGCACGAAGAACUCCGAUUGCGAAGGCAGCUCACUGGACUGCAACUGACACUGAGGCUCGAAAGUGUGGGUAUCAAACAGGAUUAGAUACCCUGGUAGUC